This 471-nucleotide ribosomal RNA is filed under the name uncultured organism. RNAcentral's name for it is "partial 16S ribosomal RNA". It matches the Rfam family "Bacterial small subunit ribosomal RNA", at positions 334 to 797 of the family's 1533-position model. The record is from RNAcentral.
CACUCCUACGGGAGGCAGCAGUGGGGAAUUUUGGACCAUGGGGGCAACCCUGAUCCAGCAAUGCCGCGUGAGUGAAGAAGGCCUUCGGGUUGUAAAGCUCUUUUGUCAGGGAAGAAACGGUGGUGGCGAAUAACUACUACUAAUGACGGUACCUGAAGAAUAAGCACCGGCUAACUACGUGCCAGCAGCCGCGGUAAUACGUAGGGUGCAAGCGUUAAUCGGAAUUACUGGGCGUAAAGCGUGCGCAGGCGGUUGUGUAAGUCAGAUGUGAAAUCCCCGGGCUCAACCUGGGAAUUGCAUUUGAGACUGCACGGCUAGAGUGUGUCAGAGGGGGGUAGAAUUCCACGUGUAGCAGUGAAAUGCGUAGAUAUGUGGAUGAAUACCGAUGGCGAAGGCAGCCCCCUGGGAUAACACUGACGCUCAUGCACGAAAGCGUGGGGAGCAAACAGGAUUAGAAACCCUAGUAGUCCC